GGAGAAAACCCACAACAAAACUUGCGUCGCCGAGCUCACGGCUCGACUUGAAUGGAAGGAGCCCGCGCCCGCGGAGCGCAGAGACUCGGGACAGCGCGGACCGCCGGCCCGGCGCGGCGCGGCGCGGGGUCGCAGCAGGUACCAUGGCCCAGAGCAGAACACUGCUGCUUCUCUUGCUGCUGCCACCGCAGCUGCAGCUGGGACUGGUGGGCACAGCGAGGUCUCCAGGGUUUGGCCGAAGUGGUACCCACAGCCUGAGCCCUGACGAGAAUGAAUUUGUGGAGGAGGGGCCAGUGCUGGUGCUGAGCCCCGAGGAGACAGGGCGUGGCCCUGUUACCAUCAACUGCCCCCGAGACUGUGCCUGCUCCCAGGAAGGUGUUGUGGACUGCGGUGGCAUCGACCUGCGCGAGUUCCCGGGGGACCUGCCUGAGCACACCAACCACCUGUCCCUGCAGAACAACCAGCUGGAGAAAAUCUACCCCCGGGAGCUCUCCAGGUUGCAUCGGCUGGAAACUCUGAACCUCCAGAACAAUCGCCUGACUUCCCGAGGGCUCCCGGAGGAGGCAUUUGAGCAUCUGACCAAUCUCAACUACCUGUACUUGGCCAAUAACAAGCUGACCUUGGCACCCCGAUUCCUGCCAAACACCCUGAUCAGUGUGGACUUUGCUGCCAACUAUCUCACCAAGAUCUACGGGCUCACCUUCGGUCAGAAGCCAAACUUGAGGUCCGUGUACCUGCACAACAACAAGCUGGCGGAUGCCGGGCUGCCAGACAACAUGUUCAACGGCUCCAGCAACGUGGAGAUCCUCAUUCUGUCCAGCAACUUCCUGCGCCACGUGCCCAAGCACCUGCCGCCCGCCCUCUAUAAGCUACACCUCAAGAACAACAAGCUGGAGAAGAUCCCACCAGGAGCCUUCAGUGAGCUGAGCAACCUGCGUGAGCUCUACCUACAGAACAACUACCUGACCGACGAGGGCCUGGACAAUGAGACCUUCUGGAAGCUCUCCAGCCUGGAGUACUUGGAUCUGUCCAGCAACAACUUAUCACGGGUGCCCGCCGGUCUGCCGCGCAGCCUGGUGCUCCUGCACCUGGAGAAGAACGCCAUCCGGAGCGUGGACGCCGACGUGCUGACGCCCAUCCGCAGCCUGGAGUACCUGCUGCUGCACAGCAACCAGCUGCACGCGCACGGCAUCCACCCGCGUGCCUUCCAGGGCCUCAAGCGGCUGCAUACGGUGCACCUGUACAACAACGCGCUGGAGCGCGUGCCUGGCGGCCUGCCCCGGCGCGUGCGCACACUCAUGAUCCUGCACAACCAGAUCACUGGCAUCGGCCGCGACGACUUCGCCACCACCUACUUCCUGGAGGAGCUCAACCUCAGCUAUAACCGCAUCACCAGCCCGCAGGUGCACCGCGAUGCCUUCCGCAAGCUGCGCCUGCUGAGAUCGCUGGACCUUUCGGGUAACCGGCUGCACACCUUACCCCCGGGGCUGCCGCGCAAUGUGCACGUGCUGAAGGUCAAGCGCAAUGAGCUGGCCGCCCUGGCGCGCGGGGCGCUGGCCGGCAUGGCCCAGCUGCGUGAGCUCUACCUCACUGGCAACCGGCUGCGCAGCCGGGCCCUGGGCCCCCGGGCCUGGGCCGACCUGUCCCAUCUGCAGCUGCUGGAUAUCGCUGGGAAUCAACUCACAGAGAUCCCGGAGGGGCUCCCUGAGUCACUCGAGUACCUGUACCUGCAGAACAACAAGAUCAGUUCUGUGCCUGCCAGUGCCUUCGACUCCACACCGAACCUCAAAGGGGUCUUUCUCAGGUUUAACAAACUGGCUGUGGGCUCCGUAGUGGAAAGUGCCUUCCGGAGGCUGAAGCACCUGCAGGUCUUGGACAUAGAAGGCAACUUUGAGUUUGGCGACGUUUCCAAAGACCGGGGCCAGCUGAAGGAGGAAGAGGAUGAGGAAGACGAGGAGGAUGAGGAUGAGGAGGAUGAGGAGAAUGAGGAGAGGCGAUAGUGACAGGGUGAACCGGAUGUGACACAGCAGGAGGUGCUCAGCUGACCGGGGUGGGUGUGGAGAAGAUGGACCAUAGGAUCCAUCCGUGGCGGGGUUUUUGGCCAGGAUAAUGGACCCCCGGACCCCUUUCUGCAGCACCUACCUGUGCCCUGUGAGCCCUGGUGUGCCAUGUUCACAGACGUUCCCAGUGCCAACCCCACCAGCCCUGCCGCCCACCGCCACCACCACGCAGGCUGAGCACACAGUCUCCAACCCCACCUGCUCCUGCAGCGCCCUCAGCCACCUAUGUGCAGGUACCAUGACGCGUCUACACACUGCCGGCUUCAUGGAGCCCCCUGAACAGUUCCAUGCCCUGCCCAGGCCCUCCAGUGCCAUCAUGUCCCUGGACUCACACAGACUUAGGGAAGGGUCUGACCCUGCCCUGGCACCCACGGAUGUCUGCUCCCUUCACCAUGGACCCACAUGUACACCCAGCCACUGCCCACUGCCCACAAGUCACAUGUGAACAGUCCUCUGUGGCUUUGCCACCAACAUAUCUUGCCCCAGCCAGAACAGCUUGCCGUUUGUCCAUCCAGAGGCAGAGUUUUCUUGGUGCUCUCUGUGGCCAGGGGCCUCCCACUCUCUGGAACUCACAGAAGCUGACUUUUGUUCCUCUUCCUGCCUUUGGGACUGCUGCCCUGGCCUGCUUGCCCUGGUCCCCAACUGCUGGGGCGGUCACUCCCUGCCAUGCCCUGGCCGGCCACAGGUGCGUCUUUGGUGGAGAUCCCACUGAGGCCAGAGGCAGUCUCCUGGGGCAGCUGGGGCCCUGGGCAAGAGUGAGGUGGAGGGGCAGGGCCAAGCAAGGAGGAAGGGCCCAGCUGCCCUUAUGACAUACCGUUUUUUUUUAUUCUUUGGGCCUGUGGGGAGUUCUGGGUGCCUUUGGACUUGGAAUUCUUUUUAAGAAAAAAAAAAAAAAAGAUAAAAAAACCCUCAAAGCUGACUUUUCUUGUUACAGAAAAACUAAUAUAAAAGCAUUACCCCUUUCUGGCAGCCCA
Mustela lutreola (European mink) is the source of this 3034-nucleotide RNA transcript. It is a transcript of the gene named podocan, with no coding region annotated. The transcript is spliced from 12 exons. Lineage: Eukaryota; Metazoa; Chordata; Mammalia; Carnivora; Mustelidae. The record is from RefSeq and is a predicted model, not a curated record.